Molecule: long non-coding RNA, 858 nt
Organism: Equus caballus (horse)
Lineage: Eukaryota; Metazoa; Chordata; Mammalia; Perissodactyla; Equidae
Source: RefSeq, a predicted model, not a curated record
CCACCAGCUAGCCUCACUUGGCCUGUGGGCUGGUCACUCCUCGACAAACCUUAACCUGUCUACAAGAGGGACCUGAUGUGAGAAAAACUGAAUUCUGUGGCAGUGUUCCGAGCCAGCAUGUGAAAAGGUCUAGCUACCCUAAUGGAGAAACCGUGUGGAAAGAGAGAGAGAGAGAGAGAUGCCUGGCUACCCACUGUCUCUUGAGCUCUUACAACUGAGGCACCAGACAUGCAACUUAGGUCUCUUGGAAGUGGAGUUGGAAGGCCAAGUGAGAGCAUUUGGAAAAGUGGUCAAGAAGAGGGCAAUAUGCUAGUAUUAGGAUGAGUCAUCAUGUAAAAGAAAGAAUCAUCUUGGUAAGGCACUGUAUCUACAUUAAAGCAUGCAUCCUCCCAAAGUACAACUCUGCCUGACAACUCAAGUAUUACUCCAAGCAUCCUGGAUUCAGAAUCUACCACUCUACCAGUAAUUCUAUACCCACUAGCUCAUGAGUCUAAGUCUACCAUUAUAAAGCCCACCAUAUACAGGAUGGAUCAAGGAUCGACGUAGGAAUUGGAGAGACAGAACCUAUAUGUUGAAGAUACCAGUACCAAUACUGAUAUAGGCUGGAGAAGAUAAAGGGUCAACUCUUCCACAGCCUACUCUCUAGCAGAUAUUUCUGGAGGAAAAAAAAAUGCUGCAGUAAGAUAUUUUCAUACUUAAAAAAACAAAAUCCAUUUAAAAACAAAAUACUGUAAUUCUGCUGGAAAAUUUAUGAAUGGCUCAUUGACAAUUCCACCUGCCACAAAAAUAAUCAGGCAUUGGGGCCAGCUGGUGGCACAGCAAGUUCACACAUUCUGCUUCUCGGCAGCCCAGAGUUCG